GCCACGCCCGCUCAGAAACUUAAAGAAUUGACGGGGCCCGCACAAGCGGAGGAGCAUGUGGUUUAAUUCGAUGAUACGCGAGGAACCUUACCUGGGCUUAAAUGCUUAAUGACGUACUGGGAAACUGGUAUUUCUUCGGACAUUUUGCAAGGUGCUGCAUGGUUGUCGUCAGCUCGUGCCGUGAGGUGUCGGGUUAAGUCCCAUAACGAGCGCAACCCCUAUUGUUAGUUGCCAUCAGGUCAUGCUGGGGACUCUAACAAAACUGCCCGCGUAAGCGUGGAGGAAGGUGGGGAUGACGUCAAAUCAGCACGGCCCUUACGUCCAGGGCUACACACGUGCUACAAUGGCCGGUACAGAGGGCAGCCACUUGGUGACAAGGAGCAAAUCUCAAAAGCCGGUCUCAGUUCGGAUCGGAGUCUGCAACUCGACUCCGUGAAGUUGGAUUCGCUAGUAAUCGUAGAUCAGCAAUGCUACGGUGAAUACGUUCCCGGGCCUU
Molecule: ribosomal RNA, 496 nt
Filed under: uncultured Bacteroidota bacterium
Lineage: Bacteria; Pseudomonadati; Bacteroidota
Description: bacterial SSU rRNA
Rfam family: Bacterial small subunit ribosomal RNA
Source: RNAcentral